RNAcentral lists this ribosomal RNA (425 nucleotides) under uncultured bacterium. Its description in RNAcentral is "partial 16S ribosomal RNA". It matches the Rfam family "Bacterial small subunit ribosomal RNA", at positions 354 to 796 of the family's 1533-position model. The record is from RNAcentral.
GUGGGGAAUCUUGCGCAAUGGGCGAAAGCCUGACGCAGCCAUGCCGCGUGAAUGAUGAAGGUCUUAGGAUUGUAAAAUUCUUUCACCGGGGACGAUAAUGACGGUACCCGGAGAAGAAGCUCCGGCUAACUUCGUGCCAGCAGCCGCGGUAAUACGAAGGGGGCUAGCGUUGCUCGGAAUUACUGGGCGUAAAGGGCGCGUAGGCGGACAGCUUAGUCAGAGGCGAAAGCCCAGGGCUCAACCUUGGAAUUGCCUUUGAUACUGGCUGUCUUGAGUUUGGGAGAGGUGAGUGGAACUCCGAGUGUAGAGGUGAAAUUCGUAGAUAUUCGGAAGAACACCAGUGGCGAAGGCGACUCACUGGCCCAAUACUGACGCUGAGGCGCGAAAGCGUGGGGAGCAAACAGGAUUAGAUACCCGGGUAGUCC